RNAcentral lists this transfer RNA (65 nucleotides) under Bombus hypocrita sapporensis (Sapporo bumblebee). RNAcentral describes it as "tRNA-Phe". The record is from RNAcentral. Lineage: Eukaryota; Metazoa; Arthropoda; Insecta; Hymenoptera; Apidae.
AUUUAAAUAGCUUAUAAUAGAGCGUAAUGUUGAAAAUAUUAAGGAAAUUAUAUAAUUUUUAAAUA